Molecule: long non-coding RNA, 652 nt
Filed under: Salmo salar (Atlantic salmon)
Lineage: Eukaryota; Metazoa; Chordata; Actinopteri; Salmoniformes; Salmonidae
Description: lncRNA (ENSSSAG00000106853.1, ENSSSAG00000116220.1)
Source: RNAcentral
AGUUGUUCAAGUUUAUUCUUUGUAAAAAUUAAACGGUUGUUUAGCGCAAAAAAAAAUAACGAACAAGAAGAAUAAGGUUUAACCUAAUUGAUAACGACAUUACAUUAUCCCUUAUUACAUUAUCCCUUAUUACAUUAUCCCUUAGAGCUGUUUUGAAUGAGGUUUAACCUAAUUCAUAACGACAUUACAUUAUCCCUUAGAGCUGUUUUGAAUGAGGUUUAACCUAAUUCAUAACGACAUUACAUUAUCCCUUAGAGCUGUUUUGAAUGAGGUUUGAAUGAGGUUUAACCUAAUUCAUAACGACAUUACAUUAUCCCUCAGAGCUGUUUUGUUGAAACACCAAUAGCAGCACAGUUGACAUUAGUCAUAUAGGAAUAAUAUACACUAUAUAAUAUGGCAUAUAUCCCCAAUACCCAUAGCAAUACAGAGCAUAUACAGCCAGGUACAAAAAGAUUAGCACCUUUGAUAAUGAUGAGCAACAAAGACUAUAAAAUAAUACAAAUAAUGAGCGAUAAAGUACAUGCUCAAUUAAAACACACACACACAUAUAUACACACACACACACACACACACACACACACACACACAUAUAUAUAUAUAUAUAUAUAUAUAUAUAUAUAUAUAUAUAUAUAUAUAUAUAUAUAUAUAUAUA